This 305-nucleotide ribosomal RNA is filed under the name uncultured bacterium. Its description in RNAcentral is "bacterial SSU rRNA". It matches the Rfam family "Bacterial small subunit ribosomal RNA", at positions 338 to 660 of the family's 1533-position model. The record is from RNAcentral.
CCUACGGGGCGCAGCAGUGGGGGAUAUUGCACAAUGGGGGAAACCCUGAUGCAGCGACGCCGCGUGUGGGAAGACGGUCUUCUGGAUUGUAAACCACUGUCCCCAGGGACGAAAAUGACGGUACCUGGGGAGGAAGCUCCGGCUAACUACGUGCCAGCAGCCGCGGUAAUACGUAGGGAGCAAGCGUUGUCCGGAAUUACUGGGUGUAAAGGGAGCGUAGGCGGGGAUGCAAGUUGGGUGUCAAAACUACCGGCUCAACCGAUAGUCGCACUCAAAACUGCAACUCUUGAGUGAAGUAGAGGCAG